AAUAAAGUGGCCGAUAAAGGCAAAAGCCUGUAAAACUUUUCAUGGAAUUAUUCCCUUUAUUA
This 62-nucleotide transfer RNA is filed under the name Syllis sp. JYC-2022. Its description in RNAcentral is "tRNA-Tyr". The record is from RNAcentral. Lineage: Eukaryota; Metazoa; Annelida; Polychaeta; Phyllodocida; Syllidae.